UCUCGUUUGUUUUUGUUUAUGCAGUGUGUUUAUGUUAUACAAAAGAAAAAUAUUGAUAUUUUAGUUAUUAAUCUUGGAUUUUGAGACUAUUUUAUACGUUUAUACUUGUUUAUUGUAUUCAUUUUUAAACAGCCAUAUUAUUUCCAGCAAAAGUUAUGGAACGUUUACAGAUACAUAGUAAUAUUUAUAAAAAAAAACAAAUUACUUUCUGCUCGCUUCCUAUAUUUUGUAAAUUUUUAAAGCUUCCUCCCAGACUCAUUUGAGUAUAAGGUGGUUCAUUUUUCCGAAAUAAAUGGAAAGGAUGGCGCAUUUAAUGCAGUGAUUUGAGCUAAUAUAACAACACAAGAAGAUGCUCAAAAUUGUCAAAAAGAAUAUGAAAAUGUCAAUAAAGUAAAUUUUAGAGUUCUAAGAACUUAUCCAAAUGAUUCUAUGAAGCUUGUUUUCAAGAAAGACUAUCGAUGCCAUCGCAAUACUCAGGCUAAUUUGCCUUCAUCAAAGACAAAAAAUCCGUCAUCUAAACAUGUUAACUGUCAGGCAUUCUUAAUAAUUACAGUGAAACCAUCAAGUAUGAAAAGGUAAAGUCUAUUUGCUAAUCUGAGACACAACUACUGUCUAGUGACGUUGGUAAUUUUUUUUGAGAAGUUAGGUUGCUAGACGUAACUGGAAAAGACUACACAACCAAACAUAACUACUCAUAGCCAAUAUUAUUAUUAACAGUAAACAGGCAUAAAUAACAUAACAUACACCAUACACCAAUCAAUAAUUAUUUAUUUAAACCUUUAUAAUGUAUUGAUAACAGAUGAGAAAAGUAUUUAUUGUACAAAAUAAAAAUAUUUUAUAGAAAUAAAUUCCACAAAAUUUUA
Molecule: long non-coding RNA, 863 nt
Organism: Diabrotica virgifera virgifera (western corn rootworm)
Lineage: Eukaryota; Metazoa; Arthropoda; Insecta; Coleoptera; Chrysomelidae
Exons: 2
Source: RefSeq, a predicted model, not a curated record